Molecule: long non-coding RNA, 1445 nt
Filed under: Homo sapiens (human)
Lineage: Eukaryota; Metazoa; Chordata; Mammalia; Primates; Hominidae
Description: HSALNT0366399
Source: RNAcentral
CACUGCACCCGGCCCCAGCAGGUAUUUUUAAAGAAAUUGACAUACUGCUUCUAAGACUUAUCUGGAAAUGCAAACAAUCUAGAAUAGCUAGAAAAUUUUAGAAAAGAAGAGCCAAGUUGGAAAAUGUAUUCCUCCUGACUUUAGUAUUUACUAUAAAGCCACAGUAAUCAAAACAAUGCGGUUCUUGGUAAGGAGAGACAAUAGAUCAAUGGAAUAGAAUAGAGUCCAGAAAUAAACUCAUGCAUAGAUGGUCAACUGAUUUUUGGCCAAAACACCAAUUCAAUUCAGUGUAGAAAAUAAAAUUUGUUAGCAGGUUCUGCUAGAACAACUGAAUACUGUAUUGGAAAAAAAAUGACCCUCAAUCUCUACCUUAUGCUAUACAGGCAAAAAUUAAUUCAAGAUGGAUCAUAACGUAAACAUGAAAUUCAGAACCAUAAACACUCUAGAAGAUGGAAGAUAUCUUCCUGACCUUGGGGUGAAAAACCUGAGGCAUGAUGACUUAUUCCAGUUGGCACAGCUAGCAAAUGGGUCAGACAGCACUCCAACCACCACACUGCCCUCUGGUCCGUCCCUGCUACCUCUGGCUAUUUUAGGAGGGCCACAUGGUGCCCCAGAAAGAGCACCCAAGCCAGAACCUCUCUGAGAUGUAGGGCCUGGUGUUCCAGCCACACACUUUCUGUCUGUGUAACUCGGGGAGCUCUCUCUGGGAAACUGCCCCUUGCUUCACCCACUCCUGGCCUCCUGCUGUGCCAUUUCCAGGAAAGAAGCUACCAUGACCUCCUUCAUUGUUCAAGAACCCCAAGUUCUUGGGUCCAGCCUAAACCGUUCCUGGGACUGGAUGAAAAAUAUGUCUGUGGGCUCUGUUUUCCAUGACUGUAGGUAUGACUGGCCCUCUCCUUUCAGUGAAGAAGCCCUUUGUUGACCAGAGAGAAAGGGGCUGCAGUGGCCAACCCUUCCCUUCGGACUCAGCACUUCCUUGCUUAGUCUGAAAGGUCUUCAGUGCUUUGUCCCCUUUCCUUGAAGUUAGAAAGCAGCACAGAGUCCUGCAUGUCCACUUUCCUCCUCUCCCUCUGCUGGUGGCGACCCUCAGCAGGUAGGCAGCCCUGGGCAGCUCUGCCUCACUCCAGUUCCUCUAGCUCAUCAACCGAUCUCCUCGGUAGGAGUCAUUCACUGCGCUCCCGGUGAUUCACUCACAGGGGCUCAUUAACCUGUUUACCUCCCUGCCACUCUCCUGAGUAGGAGUGGCCCUGGAUCCCUCCCUCCUGCACGCCUGACAAAUUGUCCUCCAAUGACUGCUGCUCUGCCCGCUGGGCUCCCACCAGCUGCCCCCGACCCUGGGAGGUCUUUGCCUGAUCCCUACUUAAAGUGUAAUGGGUAAAAGAGCUUUGAAAUCAAACACACUAGGUUUGUGACUCAGCUGCUAACCUGAGAUGCCCUGGCUUUCC